UAUAUGGUGUCUAUUUGUUUUAAGUUCAGAAUAUUAAAGUUAGAUAAUGACAGUGAUUAUGAGUUAUAUAUAUUGAGGCAAUUUUUGGAAAUAACGAUGAUGGUAGAAGUAGAGUAUGUGAAAGUGAAAUCAGUCAUAUACAAUGUCGGGAUGAUAGAGAAGGUGAUGGUGACGCUGGAGAUGGUAAUAGUGAUGUUAGAUAUCAUAGUGAUGAUGAAAAAGAAAGAAGCAAUGAUGAUUAUAUGGACUACUAGCUCAAGUGAUGACGGUAAAAAGAAGCUUUUUCGAGUGGGACAAUGUUUUUUAAGCAAAGAUUUGUUCAAACGUUGAUGACGUGUGUCUGCUGAUUGAUUCCAGGAAGCCAUGCUAAAGCCCGAGCUGCGUGAGAUGGAAAGGAAACAGGAGAGAGAAGCGUGUUGAUCGAUAUGGCGUACCUAAAAAACGUCAUUCUAAAGCUUCUGGAGACAGGUGAAGUGGAGGCUUUACUACCAGUUGUGGGAAUGUUGCUGCAGUUCAGUCCGGAAGAGAUGCAGAAAUGUGAACAAGCCUACCGCAGCGCCAUGGACGUGAGUCCACCAGGUUCAGCUACAGAUCGGUUC
Long non-coding RNA from Tarenaya hassleriana, 599 nucleotides. RefSeq lists it as uncharacterized. The record is from RefSeq and is a predicted model, not a curated record. NCBI's taxonomy places the organism in Eukaryota, Viridiplantae, Streptophyta, Magnoliopsida, Brassicales, Cleomaceae. The transcript has 3 exons.